Molecule: ribosomal RNA, 101 nt
Filed under: Jaculus jaculus (lesser Egyptian jerboa)
Lineage: Eukaryota; Metazoa; Chordata; Mammalia; Rodentia; Dipodidae
Source: RNAcentral
GCCAUUUUACCCUGAAUGCAUCUGAUCUCAUCUGACCUCAGAAGCUAAGCAGGGUCGGGCCUGAUUAGUACUUGGAUGGGAGGCACUAGUGGCACAGUAAU